CCCUUAGAUGCUCUGGGCCGCACGCGCGCUACACUGGUCGAUGCAACGAGUUUCUUUCCUUGGCCGACAGGCCUGGGCAAUCUUUGAACAUCGAUCGCGAUCGGGAUAGAUUCUUGUAAUUUUUGAUCUUAAACGAGGAAUUCCUAGUAAACGCAAGUCAUCAGCUUGCAUUGAUUACGUCCCUGCCCUUUGUACACACCGCCCGUCGCACCUACCGAUUGAAUGGUCCGGUGAAAUCUCCGGACUGGCGUGAGUCGGAGCAAUCUGACAAACACCGGAAAGUUGAUUAAACCUUACCAUUUAGAGGAAGGUGAANUCGUAACA
This 324-nucleotide ribosomal RNA is filed under the name uncultured eukaryote. RNAcentral describes it as "partial 18S ribosomal RNA". It matches the Rfam family "Eukaryotic small subunit ribosomal RNA", at positions 1470 to 1796 of the family's 1831-position model. The record is from RNAcentral.